CCCUUUGGGUGUGACUGCGUACCUUUUGUAUAAUGGGUCAGCGACUUAUAUUCUGUAGCAAGGUUAACCGAAUAGGGGAGCCGGAGGGAAACCGAGUCUUAAUUGGGCGUUAAGUUGCAGGGUAUAGACCCGAAACCCGGUGAUCUAGCCAUGGGCAGGUUGAAGGUUGGGUAACACUAACUGGAGGACCGAACCGACUAAUGUUGAAAAAUUAGCGGAUGACCUGUGGCUGGGGGUGAAAGGCCAAUCAAACCGGGAGAUAGCUGGUUCUCCCCGAAAGCUAUUUAGGUAGCGCCUCGUGAAUUCAUCUCCGGGGGUAGAGCACUGUUUCGGCUAGGGGGCCAUCCCGGCUUACCAACCCGAUGCAAACUGCGAAUACCGGAGAAUGUUAUCACGGGAGACACACGGCGGGUGCUAACGUCCGUCGUGAAGAGGGAAACAACCCAGACCGCCAGCUAAGGUCCCAAAGUCAUGGUUAAGUGGGAAACGAUGUGGGAAGGCCCAGACAGCCAGGAUGUUGGCUUAGAAGCAGCCAUCAUUUAAAGAAAGCGUAAUAGCUCACUGGUCGAGUCGGCCUGCGCGGAAGAUGUAACGGGGCUAAACCAUGCACCGAAGCUGCGGCAGCGACGCUUAUGCGUUGUUGGGUAGGGGAGCGUUCUGUAAGCCUG
This 668-nucleotide ribosomal RNA is filed under the name Salmonella enterica subsp. enterica serovar Enteritidis. RNAcentral's name for it is "partial 23S ribosomal RNA". It matches the Rfam family "Bacterial large subunit ribosomal RNA", at positions 582 to 1251 of the family's 2925-position model. The record is from RNAcentral. Lineage: Bacteria; Pseudomonadati; Pseudomonadota; Gammaproteobacteria; Enterobacterales; Enterobacteriaceae.